Molecule: ribosomal RNA, 382 nt
Filed under: uncultured eukaryote
Lineage: Eukaryota
Description: partial 18S ribosomal RNA
Rfam family: Eukaryotic small subunit ribosomal RNA
Source: RNAcentral
CAAUAGCGUAUAUUAAAGUUGUUGCAGUUAAAAAGCUCGUAGUUGGAUUUCUGGUUGAAGCGACCGGUCGGGCGUUGAUUCGUCUGCACUGGAGUCGGUUUUGGCCAUCCUCUAGGAAAGUGCGUCUGGUAUUAAGUUAUCGGGCGUAUGAUCCUGGUCUUUUACUGUGAAAAAAUUAGAGUGUUUAAAGCAGGCCUUCGCCUUGAAUACAUUAGCAUGGAAUAAUAAGAUAGGACUUUGGUCUAUUUUGUCGGUUUGCAGACCGAAGUAAUGAUUAAUAGGGAUAGUUGGGGGUAUUUAUAUUCCGAUGUCAGAGGUGAAAUUCUUAGAUUUUCGGAAGAUAAACUUAUGCGAAAGCAUUUACCAAGGAUGUUUUCAUUAA